GUCGAGAUAGCUCAGUGGUAGAGCAAAGGACUGAAGAUCCUUAGGCCACCAGUUCGAAUCUGGUUCUCGGCA
Molecule: transfer RNA, 72 nt
Filed under: Apicomplexa sp. WK-2018_Corallicola
Lineage: Eukaryota; Apicomplexa
Description: tRNA-Phe
Rfam family: tRNA
About the family: Transfer RNA (tRNA) molecules are approximately 80 nucleotides in length. Their secondary structure includes four short double-helical elements and three loops (D, anti-codon, and T loops).
Source: RNAcentral